Molecule: RNA transcript, 1790 nt
Organism: Sinocyclocheilus grahami
Lineage: Eukaryota; Metazoa; Chordata; Actinopteri; Cypriniformes; Cyprinidae
Gene name: carboxypeptidase Q
Exons: 9
Source: RefSeq, a predicted model, not a curated record
ACAGUAAACCAUACAUUUUUUAAACCGCCGUGUGUUUUUACAACGUAAAAUGUUAACCAUCUGCUUCAUAAGAACUGCAACGGUUCAUGAAAUAUCGUUGUGAAAGCUGUCUCGUGUUGACUACUAAACGCGUUUUGUCUGAUUGUCCCUUGGAGCUUGCCGUAGCCACAUGAGCGCCCAAUGUUUUCAAGAUGGCUUGCAGUAAAAGCAGGUGUCUAAACUCCAUUAGUCAGGUGCUUCUGACUCUUCUUAUACUUCGCUGUCUACUGUGUCACUCCAGGCCUCACUGUUAUGACAGUAAACCGCUUUCAGAAAUAUCCAAAGAGAUUUUUAAGUACUCUGACAUCGCUCAGCGAAUCAUAAACCUAGCAGUAUAUGGCAAGGCUCAGAACCGUUCCUAUGAGAGGCUGGCUGAGUUCACUGACACUGUUGGAAACAGAGUCAGUGGCUCUAAGAACCUAGACCUGGCCAUUAAGUACAUGUACAAUGCCCUGACACGGGACGGACUGGAGAAUGUGCAUCUAGAGCAAGUGAAGAUCCCUCACUGGGUGCGGGGGGAGGAGAGCGCGGUGAUGCUUCUACCGAGAAACCACACUUUAGCCAUACUCGGGCUUGGUAGUAGUGUUGGAACUCCUCUAGGAGGUAUAGAGGCAGAGGUAAUGGUGGUGGAGUCUUUUGAAGAGCUCAAAAAGAGAGCGAGUGAGGCUAAAGGGAAAAUCGUUGUGUAUAACCAGCCGUUUGUCAGCUAUGGGGAGACCGUAGCCUAUCGGGCUUCAGGGGCCUCAGAGGCUGCUAAAGUUGGAGCCGUGGCUUCACUUAUCCGUUCAGUAACUCCGUUCUCCAUCAACAGCCCCCACACUGGCUGGCAGUGGUACCAGCCUGGAGUGCCUCAGAUCCCCACUGCCUGCAUCACUGUCGAGGAUGCCCAGAUGAUGGCCAGGAUGGCCCGCAGAGGCCAGAGGAUUGUGGUGCGUCUGACUAUGGGGGCCCAAACACUGCCAGAUGUUGACUCCUACAACACUGUGGCUGAAAUCACAGGAAGCAAGCAUCCUGAACAGGUGGUGCUGCUCAGUGGUCACCUGGACAGCUGGGACGUGGGCCAGGGCGCUAUGGAUGAUGGAGGUGGGGUCGCCAUUUCCUGGGAAGCACUUUCUUUGAUCAGAGACUUAGGGCUGCGUCCCAAAAGAACACUGAGGACGGUGCUGUGGUCCGCAGAGGAGCCAGGCGGGGUGGGAGCAGCUCAGUACUUCCAACAGCACAAAGUAAACAUCUCGAACUUUGACCUGGUAAUGGAGUCUGACCUGGGCACCUUCAGUCCUCUGGGACUGCAGUUCACUGGCAGUGACAAAGCUCGGGCAAUCAUGAAGGAGGUGAUGAAACUGUUGGCUCCCAUCAAUGUCACGUCGCUUGAAGAACAUGGAGAGGGAACAGACAUUAACAUGUGGAUGAAGGCUGGGGUUCCAGGCGCCAGCCUGCACACUGCAGACCAGAGGUACUUCUGGUUCCACCACAGCGACGGUGACACAAUGAGCGUCCAAAACCCAGAGGAGAUGAACCUGUGUUCUGCUGUUUGGGCUGUGGUGGCCUAUGUGGUCGCUGACCUAGAGGAAAUGCUCCCCAGAUAGUGAGUCACUCACAAACGACUGAACAAACCCCUGUCCAUCAGCUUACAGCAGUCGGUCGAUCACACCAUUACCUUGAGAAUUCUCUAUCAGCCUGAGAUUUUUUUUUGUGGUUUGACUUCAUCAUAACCUCAGGGUGUAUGUAGCUGCUCAAGACCAGACUGAUUC